Molecule: long non-coding RNA, 398 nt
Filed under: Callithrix jacchus (white-tufted-ear marmoset)
Lineage: Eukaryota; Metazoa; Chordata; Mammalia; Primates; Cebidae
Description: lncRNA (ENSCJAG00000086552.1)
Source: RNAcentral
GAAAAAUCUUUCCUUUUGAUUAUAAAAGAGAGGUAAGACUCUGAUAAUGUCAAAUAUGGGCAAGGUGGUGGCUUUCUGCGUCCUCCCUGGCAGGUGAUGGCAGCUCUGCUGGCAGGGUUGGUGAUGCCUAUCCUGACUACCAAUUAAACCAGUCCUUUUCCAGCAGCCUGGCCAGCGGACAAAACCAAGCCCUUCAGCAGUGACAGAACGGAACCAGUGUUUCUUAGUGAGUAGACGUGGGGCCAAAAAAGACCGGAUCUCUUCAAGCUCACCUGGCCACAUUCUCUUCCUGCUGCUCCCAGAUGUCCCACCAGACUGUCGCUCUGCGGGACUCAAACAUUUCUUGAAGGUGGGAACUGCGUUUUAACCAUCUUUUUAUCCUUCCACAGUACCCUCCC